Molecule: ribosomal RNA, 433 nt
Filed under: uncultured bacterium
Lineage: Bacteria
Description: partial 16S ribosomal RNA
Rfam family: Bacterial small subunit ribosomal RNA
Source: RNAcentral
AACGAACGCUGGCGGCAUGCCUAACACAUGCAACUCGAACGAGACCUUCGGGUCUAGUGGCGCACGGGUGCGUAACGCGUGGGAACCUGCCCUUAGGUUCGGAAUAACUCCCCGAAAGGGGUGCUAAUACCGGAUAAUGUCUUCGGACCAAAGAUUUAUCGCCUUUGGAUGGGCCCGCGUUGGAUUAGCUAGUUGGUAGGGUAAAAGCCUACCAAGGCGACGAUCCAUAGCUGGUCUGAGAGGAUGAUCAGCCACACUGGGACUGAGACACGGCCCAGACUCCUACGGGAGGCAGCAGUGGGGAAUAUUGGACAAUGGGCGAAAGCCUGAUCCAGCAAUGCCGCGUGAGUGAUGAAGGCCUUAGGGUUGUAAAGCUCUUUUACCCGGGAUGAUAAUGACAGUACCGGGAGAAUAAGCUCCGGCUAACUCCGUG